Non-coding RNA from Cottoperca gobio, 1612 nucleotides. The record is from the annotation of a RefSeq genome assembly. Lineage: Eukaryota; Metazoa; Chordata; Actinopteri; Perciformes; Bovichtidae.
CUCUAAACGGACAGAAUGUGCAGCCUGAAGACUCUGCUGUGUAUUACUGUGCCAGAGACGUCUGGGGUGGGGUCCUAUUACUUUGACUACUGGGGAAAAGGAACAAUGGUGACCGUCACAUCAGCCAUUUCAACUGGACCGUCUGUGUUUCCUCUGAUUCAAUGUGGUUUGGGGACUGGAGACACGGUCACUCUUGGCUGCUUUGCCACCGGCUUCACACCCUCCGCACUGACCUACGCAUGGAAGAACAAUGGGGCUGCCUUGACAGAGUUCAUUCAGUACCCUCCAGUACAGAAAGGCAACGUCUAUACGGGUAUCAGUCAAAUCCGAGUGAAAAGACAGGACUGGGAAGCGAAGCAGCCUUUCGAAUGUGAAGUGAAACAUGCAUCGGGAACUGAACGUUGCAAUUUCAUAAAGCAAGAGGAGUUUUAUAGGGUGCCAACUCUUAAAGUGUUGGCCUCCUCUGAUAAGGAAAGUGAGGCUUCCUUCUCCUGCUUUGCCAACGAUUUUUCACCAAAGGAUCAUGAGAUCAAAUGGCUGAAAAACAACGUGGCAGUCACUAACAAAGUAUACGAGAUCAAAACACCUCCUACGGAAAGAACGGACAAGAAUGGAACUAAGCUGUACAGUGCAGCAAGUUUUCUCACGGUGCAGUCCAGUGAGUGGACUGACAAUAAUGAGUUUACAUGUCAGUUUGAGGGGAAAGGCAAAGACGUUCAAACAAACGAGACUGUGAUUCACACCAAUCUCAAAUGUCCCAUAUAUGAAGGAUGUCCUUGCGCAGAUGUGGAGGUCAAGAUCAUAGCACCUUCAAUGGAGGACAUGUUUUUACACAAAAAAGGAACAGUAACUUGUCAAGUCAAGGUAAAUAAACCAUCUGUCGAGAAGAUUUCGUGGGAGACUGAGAAUGGAGGGUCAAUAAUUGGUGCCAGCCCAAUUUUACCCGCUAGAGGACAAAAAGGCGUCUUUAGCGCUCUACUUCCCAUCACCUAUGACGAAUGGAGCGGGGGCACAAAGUUCCUCUGCAUUGUGGAAAAUGAAGAUUGGAUAUUACCACUGAAGAAAAACUACGAGAGGAUUAUCGGAGGACAAACUCAGCGUCCUUCAGUGUUUAUGUUACCUCCACUAGAAGAUACUAGAAAAGAAACAAUGACCCUGUCUUGCUAUGUGAAAGACUUCUACCCUCAGGAGGUUUUUGUGGCUUGGCUUGUUGAUGACGUGGAAGCAGACUCAAAUUACGAGUUCCACACCACAAACCCUGUAGAAAACCACGGAUCCUAUUCUGCUUAUGGCCAGUUAUCUCUCAGCCUUAAGGAGUGGAAUAACGAUAACACUGUGUACAACUGUGUAGUUUACCACGAGUCGGUGGUUAACUCAACCAAAGCUAUUGUCAGGUCCAUCGGGCAAAAAACAUGUGGAAGAACCAACAUGGUCAACCUCAACAUGAACAUGCCUGAAAAGUGCAAGGCCCAGUAGAUGUUCUUCUGUGUCACUGUGUCUUUGGCUGUUUGUUGUUUAAUGUUUGUUGCUUGUGAUAUGACAUUGUGUUUGUCUUUUUAAUGCAGAUUCAAAAAAAAAUAAAAUAAAAAAAAAAGCCCUUUGCAACUCUGUU